UCCUGGUUAACCCAGGCAGUCUCUCUAGAGUGCCCAACUUAAUGCUGGCAACUAAAGAUAGGGGUUGCGCUCGUUGCGAGACUUAACCCAACAUUUCACAACACGAGCUGACGACAGCCAUGCAGCACCUGUCUCUACGUUCCCCGAAGGGCACUUCAACCAUUACGUCGAAUUCGUAGGAUUUCAAGCCUAGGUAAGGUUCUGCGCGUUGCUUCGAAUUAAACCACAUAAUCCACCGCUUGUGCGGGCCCCCGUCAAUUCCUUUGAGUUUUAGUCUUGCGACCGUACUUCCCAGGCGGAGAACUUAACGCGUUAGCUUCGUUUCUGAAGGAGUCAAUACCCCCAAAAACCAGUUCUCAUCGUUUACGGCGUGGACUAC
RNAcentral lists this unclassified non-coding RNA (379 nucleotides) under uncultured Bacteriovoracaceae bacterium. RNAcentral's name for it is "contains 16S-23S intergenic spacer region". The record is from RNAcentral. Lineage: Bacteria; Pseudomonadati; Bdellovibrionota; Bacteriovoracia; Bacteriovoracales; Bacteriovoracaceae.